This 335-nucleotide unclassified non-coding RNA is filed under the name soil metagenome. Its description in RNAcentral is "partial contains 5.8S ribosomal RNA, internal transcribed spacer 2, and large subunit ribosomal RNA". The stretch from base 1 to 120 matches the Rfam family "5.8S ribosomal RNA", at positions 35 to 154 of the family's 154-position model. The record is from RNAcentral.
GAUGAAGAACGCAGCGAAAUGCGAUAAGUAAUGUGAAUUGCAGAAUUCAGUGAAUCAUCCAAUCUUUGAACGCACAUUGCGCCCAUUAGUAUUCUAGUGGGCAUGCCUGUUCGAGCGUCAUUUCAACCCUUAAGCCUAGCUUAGUAUUGGGAAUCGACUUUACUGUCGUUCCUCAAAUUCAACGGCGGAUUUAUAGCAAUCUCUGAACGUAGUAAUUUUUUUCCUCGUUUUUGAAAUACUAUAAACCUCAGCCGCUAAACCCCCAAUUUUUUUAUGGUUGACCUCGGAUCAGGUAGGAAUACCCGCUGAACUUAAGCAUAUCAAUAAGCGGAGGA